GUUCCAGACGGACCCCUGAGGGGUUGAAGC
RNAcentral lists this non-coding RNA (30 nucleotides) under Halanaeroarchaeum sulfurireducens. The record is from RNAcentral. Lineage: Archaea; Methanobacteriati; Methanobacteriota; Halobacteria; Halobacteriales; Halobacteriaceae.